This 262-nucleotide long non-coding RNA is filed under the name Volvox carteri. RNAcentral's name for it is "long non-coding RNA (VCAR_LNC000448)". Lineage: Eukaryota; Viridiplantae; Chlorophyta; Chlorophyceae; Chlamydomonadales; Volvocaceae. The record is from RNAcentral.
UAAGAUUUAACAUCAAUACAAGUGAUCUACAUUUAUAAACAUGAGGAGGACUCUCAUCGCAGUGGCGAAGGUACAGUACACAAGGGUACAGUGCAGGUACUGUCGGUUUUUACAUCAUGAGUAAGCCUCUUUGGUCACGCAAUUUUGUGGGACAUUUAUGCAAUGUAUAUCUGGUUAGAUGAUGAAGCCAUCGAUAUUAUUUUACAAUGUCGCGUCGGUUCGGUGACAUGUCGGACUACGCGUGUUGAGCGCGUGGUGUCCA